UGAUUGGUGCUUGCAUCAUGAUUUACAUUUGAGUGAGUGGCGAACUGGUGAGUAACACGUGGGAAACCUGCCCAGAAGCGGGGGAUAACACCUGGAAACAGAUGCUAAUACCGCAUAACAACUUGGACCGCAUGGUCCGAGCUUGAAAGAUGGCUUCGGCUAUCACUUUUGGAUGGUCCCGCGGCGUAUUAGCUAGAUGGUGGGGUAACGGCUCACCAUGGCAAUGAUACGUAGCCGACCUGAGAGG
Molecule: ribosomal RNA, 247 nt
Filed under: Lactiplantibacillus plantarum
Lineage: Bacteria; Bacillati; Bacillota; Bacilli; Lactobacillales; Lactobacillaceae
Description: Lactobacillus plantarum partial 16S ribosomal RNA
Rfam family: Bacterial small subunit ribosomal RNA
Source: RNAcentral